GAUUAAGUUAUUAAGGGCGCACGGUGGAUGCCUUGGCACUAGAAGCCGAUGAAGGACGUUACUAACGACGAUAUGCUUUGGGGAGCUGUAAGUAAGCUUUGAUCCAGAGAUUUCCGAAUGGGGAAACCCAGCAUGAGUUAUGUCAUGUUAUCGAUAUGUGAAUACAUAGCAUAUCAGAAGGCACACCCGGAGAACUGAAACAUCUUAGUACCCGGAGGAAGAGAAAGAAAAUUCGAUUCCCUUAGUAGCGGCGAGCGAAACGGGAAGAGCCCAAACCAACAAGCUUGCUUGUUGGGGUUGUAGGACACUCUAUACGGAGUUACAAAGGACGACAUUAGACGAAUCAUCUGGAAAGAUGAAUCAAAGAAGGUAAUAAUCCUGUAGUCGAAAAUGUUGUCUCUCUUGAGUGGAUCCUGAGUACGACGGAGCACGUGAAAUUCCGUCGGAAUCUGGGAGGACCAUCUCCUAAGGCUAAAUACUCUCUAGUGACCGAUAGUGAACCAGUACCGUGAGGGAAAGGUGAAAAGCACCCCGGAAGGGGAGUGAAAUAGAACCUGAAACCGUGUGCUUACAAGUAGUCAGAGCCCGUUAAUGGGUGAUGGCGUGCCUUUUGUAGAAUGAACCGGCGAGUUACGAUUUGAUGCAAGGUUAAGCAGUAAAUGUGGAGCCGUAGCGAAAGCGAGUCUGAAUAGGGCGUUUAGUAUUUGGUCGUAGACCCGAAACCAGGUGAUCUACCCUUGGUCAGGUUGAAGUUCAGGUAACACUGAAUGGAGGACCGAACCGACUUACGUUGAAAAGUGAGCGGAUGAACUGAGGGUAGCGGAGAAAUUCCAAUCGAACCUGGAGAUAGCUGGUUCUCUCCGAAAUAGCUUUAGGGCUAGCCUCAAGUGAUGAUUAUUGGAGGUAGAGCACUGUUUGGACGAGGGGCCCCUCUCGGGUUACCGAAUUCAGACAAACUCCGAAUGCCAAUUAAUUUAACUUGGGAGUCAGAACAUGGGUGAUAAGGUCCGUGUUCGAAAGGGAAACAGCCCAGACCACCAGCUAAGGUCCCAAAAUAUAUGUUAAGUGGAAAAGGAUGUGGCGUUGCCCAGACAACUAGGAUGUUGGCUUAGAAGCAGCCAUCAUUUAAAGAGUGCGUAAUAGCUCACUAGUCGAGUGACACUGCGCCGAAAAUGUACCGGGGCUAAACAUAUUACCGAAGCUGUGGAUUGUCCUUUGGACAAUGGUAGGAGAGCGUUCUAAGGGCGUUGAAGCAUGAUCGUAAGGACAUGUGGAGCGCUUAGAAGUGAGAAUGCCGGUGUGAGUAGCGAAAGACGGGUGAGAAUCCCGUCCACCGAUUGACUAAGGUUUCCAGAGGAAGGCUCGUCCGCUCUGGGUUAGUCGGGUCCUAAGCUGAGGCCGACAGGCGUAGGCGAUGGAUAACAGGUUGAUAUUCCUGUACCACCUAUAAUCGUUUUAAUCGAUGGGGGGACGCAGUAGGAUAGGCGAAGCGUGCGAUUGGAUUGCACGUCUAAGCAGUAAGGCUGAGUAUUAGGCAAAUCCGGUACUCGUUAAGGCUGAGCUGUGAUGGGGAGAAAACAUUGUGUCUUCGAGUCGUUGAUUUCACACUGCCGAGAAAAGCCUCUAGAUAGAAAAUAGGUGCCCGUACCGCAAACCGACACAGGUAGUCAAGAUGAGAAUUCUAAGGUGAGCGAGCGAACUCUCGUUAAGGAACUCGGCAAAAUGACCCCGUAACUUCGGGAGAAGGGGUGCUCUUUAGGGUUAACGCCCAGAAGAGCCGCAGUGAAUAGGCCCAAGCGACUGUUUAUCAAAAACACAGGUCUCUGCUAAACCGUAAGGUGAUGUAUAGGGGCUGACGCCUGCCCGGUGCUGGAAGGUUAAGAGGAGUGGUUAGCUUCUGCGAAGCUACGAAUCGAAGCCCCAGUAAACGGCGGCCGUAACUAUAACGGUCCUAAGGUAGCGAAAUUCCUUGUCGGGUAAGUUCCGACCCGCACGAAAGGCGUAACGAUUUGGGCACUGUCUCAACGAGAGACUCGGUGAAAUCAUAGUACCUGUGAAGAUGCAGGUUACCCGCGACAGGACGGAAAGACCCCGUGGAGCUUUACUGUAGCCUGAUAUUGAAAUUCGGCACAGCUUGUACAGGAUAGGUAGGAGCCUUUGAAACGUGAGCGCUAGCUUACGUGGAGGCGCUGGUGGGAUACUACCCUAGCUGUGUUGGCUUUCUAACCCGCACCACUUAUCGUGGUGGGAGACAGUGUCAGGCGGGCAGUUUGACUGGGGCGGUCGCCUCCUAAAAGGUAACGGAGGCGCUCAAAGGUUCCCUCAGAAUGGUUGGAAAUCAUUCAUAGAGUGUAAAGGCAUAAGGGAGCUUGACUGCGAGACCUACAAGUCGAGCAGGGUCGAAAGACGGACUUAGUGAUCCGGUGGUUCCGCAUGGAAGGGCCAUCGCUCAACGGAUAAAAGCUACCCCGGGGAUAACAGGCUUAUCUCCCCCAAGAGUUCACAUCGACGGGGAGGUUUGGCACCUCGAUGUCGGCUCAUCGCAUCCUGGGGCUGUAGUCGGUCCCAAGGGUUGGGCUGUUCGCCCAUUAAAGCGGUACGCGAGCUGGGUUCAGAACGUCGUGAGACAGUUCGGUCCCUAUCCGUCGUGGGCGUAGGAAAUUUGAGAGGAGCUGUCCUUAGUACGAGAGGACCGGGAUGGACAUACCUCUGGUGUACCAGUUGUCGUGCCAACGGCAUAGCUGGGUAGCUAUGUAUGGACGGGAUAAGUGCUGAAAGCAUCUAAGCAUGAAGCCCCCCUCAAGAUGAGAUUUCCCAACUUCGGUUAUAAGAUCCCUCAAAGAUGAUGAGGUUAAUAGGUUCGAGGUGGAAGCAUGGUGACAUGUGGAGCUGACGAAUACUAAUCGAUCGAAGACUUAAUCAA
RNAcentral lists this ribosomal RNA (2923 nucleotides) under Staphylococcus aureus. RNAcentral's name for it is "23S ribosomal RNA". It matches the Rfam family "Bacterial large subunit ribosomal RNA". Lineage: Bacteria; Bacillati; Bacillota; Bacilli; Caryophanales; Staphylococcaceae. The record is from RNAcentral.